GCACCUUUCGGGGUGAGUGGCAGACGGGUGAGUAACGCGUGGGAACGUGCCCUUCAGUUCGGAAUAACCCAGGGAAACUUGGGCUAAUACCGGAUACGUGCGAGAGCAGAAAGAUUUAUCGCUGAAGGAUCGGCCCGCGUCUGAUUAGCUAGUUGGUAGGGUAAUGGCCUACCAAGGCGACGAUCAGUAGCUGGUCUGAGAGGAUGAUCAGCCACAUUGGGACUGAGACACGGCCCAAACUCCUACGGGAGGCAGCAGUGGGGAAUAUUGGACAAUGGGCGCAAGCCUGAUCCAGCCAUGCCGCGUGAGUGAUGAAGGCCUUAGGGUUGUAAAGCUCUUUCGGCGGGGACGAUAAUGACGGUACCCGCAGAAGAAGCCCCGGCUAACUUCGUGCCAGCAGCCGCGGUAAUACGAAGGGGGCUAGCGUUGUUCGGAAUCACUGGGCGUAAAGGGCGCGUAGGCGGCUUUGUAAGUCGGGGGUGAAAGCCUGUGGCUCAACCACAGAAUUGCCUUCGAUACUGCAUGGCUUGAGACCGGAAGAGGUAAGUGGAACUGCGAGUGUAGAGGUGAAAUUCGUAGAUAUUCGCAAGAACACCAGUGGCGAAGGCGGCUUACUGGUCCGGUUCUGACGCUGAGGCGCGAAAGCGUGGGGAGCAAACAGGAUUAGAUACCCUGGUAGUCCACGCCGUAAACGAUGAAUGCCAGCCGUUGGCGAGCUUGCUCGUCAGUGGCGCAGCUAACGCUUUAAGCAUUCCGCCUGGGGAGUACGGUCGCAAGAUUAAAACUC
RNAcentral lists this ribosomal RNA (787 nucleotides) under Microvirga sp. Its description in RNAcentral is "bacterial SSU rRNA". It matches the Rfam family "Bacterial small subunit ribosomal RNA", at positions 73 to 902 of the family's 1533-position model. The record is from RNAcentral. Lineage: Bacteria; Pseudomonadati; Pseudomonadota; Alphaproteobacteria; Hyphomicrobiales; Methylobacteriaceae.